AAUUUCUCUUCUGCCCGCGGUCGAACGAACUUCCGCCGAUCGUUCGUCUUCCGUUGACCGUGUGUUAUCCGCUGACGGUUCAACGUCGGCCAACUAUUUCGCCUCCGCCCACACUUCAACGUUCGCCCAAUCUUCUGCCAACAACCGGUUUGAACCAGAUAUGCUAGCAUUCUCAGGUUUCUAUUAUGGUGGAGGUAAAAAGGAAAGGAGAGAAUUUGGAGCUAUUCGAAGGCGAUGGAAAACAUUACAUCAAGUAAGCAACCCUGAUAAAGAAAGGAGGCAUGGAAAAUGUCCACCGACUCCAGAAGAGGUUUGUUUGAUGCUGAGAGCACUCGGAUAUGGGCAGGAUGUUUAUAUCCUUCAAUUUGGCUUGAAUAUGUGCCUCUAUGGCCCUUAAAUCUCCAUGAUUUUUUGCUUUCCAUGGCUUUUAGGUCCUCUGAUGCCGCCACAUCACCAAAUUUGCUUUCUUUGGCUACUUUUAGCACUAAUUGUCGCCUACCACUGACACCCACUUUGUCAUCUUUUGGUCUUAGGCUCUUGAAAUCUUCAACUAGAUCAUCUAAGGUUUUGCAAGAAUCCAUUGAAGCAGUGAAACCAUAUUUGCUGCAAUUAAUUGAUUUAUAGGCCUUUUUGUAGGUUUGGUAGCCAAAUUUUGGUUCAAAUGUACUUAUUUAAAUAGCUUGUCCGUACCAAAACAUAUAUGUUAAUUGCUUCAUUGUACAAACAUUGUACGAACAAUUGUACGAACAAUUGUACAUAUAUUAAAGUAUAUAUAUUAAAUCGUUAAUCAUUUUUGUCCA
This is a long non-coding RNA of Cucumis melo (muskmelon), 800 nucleotides long. RefSeq lists it as uncharacterized. The record is from RefSeq and is a predicted model, not a curated record. The transcript has 4 exons. NCBI's taxonomy places the organism in Eukaryota, Viridiplantae, Streptophyta, Magnoliopsida, Cucurbitales, Cucurbitaceae.